RNAcentral lists this ribosomal RNA (491 nucleotides) under uncultured bacterium. RNAcentral's name for it is "partial 16S ribosomal RNA". It matches the Rfam family "Bacterial small subunit ribosomal RNA", at positions 29 to 507 of the family's 1533-position model. The record is from RNAcentral.
AGUGAACGCUGGCGGUAGGCCUAACACAUGCAAGUCGAACGGCAGCACAGUAAGAGCUUGCUCUUACGGGUGGCGAGUGGCGGACGGGUGAGGAAUACAUCGGAAUCUACUUUUUCGUGGGGGAUAACGUAGGGAAACUUACGCUAAUACCGCAUACGACCUACGGGUGAAAGCAGGGGAUCUUCGGACCUUGCGCGAUUGAAUGAGCCGAUGUCGGAUUAGCUAGUUGGCGGGGCAAAGGCCCACCAAGGCGACGAUCCGUAGCUGGGCUGAGAGGCUGAACAGCCACCCUGGAGCUGAGCCACGGUCCCGGCUCCUACGGGAGGCAGCAGUGGGGAAUUUUGGACAAUGGGCGCAAGCCUGAUCAGCCAUACCGCGUGGGUGAAGAAGGCCUUCGGGUUGUAAAGCCCUUUUGUUGGGAAAGAAAAGCAGCAGGUUAAUACCCCGCUGUUCUGACGGUACCCAAAGAAUAAGCACCGGCUAACUUCGUG